This 449-nucleotide ribosomal RNA is filed under the name uncultured bacterium. RNAcentral's name for it is "partial 16S ribosomal RNA". It matches the Rfam family "Bacterial small subunit ribosomal RNA", at positions 29 to 523 of the family's 1533-position model. The record is from RNAcentral.
AACGAACGCUGGCGGCAUGCCUAACACAUGCAAGUCGAACGAGACCUUCGGGUCUAGUGGCGCACGGGUGCGUAGCGCGUGGGAAUCUGCCCUUGGCUUCGGAAUAACAGUUAGAAAUGACUGCUAAUACCGGAUGAUGUCUUCGGACCAAAGAUUUAUCGGCCAGGGAUGAGCCCGCGUAGGAUUAGGUAGUUGGUGGGGUAAAGGCCAACCAAGCCGACGAUCCUUAGCUGGUCUGAGAGGAUGACCAGCCACACUGGGACUGAGACACGGCCCAGACUCCUACGGGAGGCAGCAGUGGGGAAUAUUGGACAAUGGGCGCAAGCCUGAUCCAGCAAUGCCGCGUGAGUGAUGAAGGCCUUCGGGUCGUAAAGCUCUUUUACCCGGGAUGAUAAUGACAGUACCGGGAGAAUAAGCUCCGGCUAACUCCGUGCCAGCCGCCGCAGUAA